GACGAACGCUGGCGGCGUGCUUAACACAUGCAAGUCGAACGGAAAGGCCCUGCUUUUGUGGGGUGCCCGAGUGGCGAACGGGUGAGUAACACGUGAGUAACCUGCCCUUGACUUUGGGAUAACUUCAGGAAACUGGGGCUAAUACCGGAUAGGAGCUCCUGUUGCAUGGUGGGGGUUGGAAAGUUUCGGCGGUUGGGGAUGGACUCGCGGCUUAUCAGCUUGUUGGUGGGGUAGUGGCUUACCAAGGCUUUGACGGGUAGCCGGCCUGAGAGGGUGACCGGCCACAUUGGGACUGAGAUACGGCCCAGACUCCUACGGGAGGCAGCAGUGGGGAAUAUUGCACAAUGGGCGGAAGCCUGAUGCAGCAACGCCGCGUGCGGGAUGACGGCCUUCGGGUUGUAAACCGCUUUCGCCUGUGACGAAGCGUGAGUGACGGUAAUGGGUAAAGAAGCACCGGCUAACUACGUG
RNAcentral lists this ribosomal RNA (468 nucleotides) under uncultured bacterium. RNAcentral's name for it is "partial 16S ribosomal RNA". It matches the Rfam family "Bacterial small subunit ribosomal RNA", at positions 28 to 507 of the family's 1533-position model. The record is from RNAcentral.